CCUACGGGUGGCUGCAGUGAGGAAUCUUCUGCAAUGGGCGAAAGCCUGACAGAGCAAUGCCGCGUGUGGGAUGAAGCGUCUAUGACGUGUAAACCACUGUCAGGGGGCGGAACCAAUGAUUGCCCCCAGAGGAAGAGCCGGCUAACCCUGUGCCAGCAGCCGCGGUAAUACAGGGGGCUCGAGCGUUACGCGGAAUCACUGGGCUUAAAGGGUGCGUAGGUGGCUUGCAAAGCAUUACGUGAAAGCCCCGGGCUCAACCCGGGAAUUGCGCGAUGUACUGGCAAGCUUGAGGUAUGUAGGGGUUGACGGAACAGUGGGUGGAGCGGUGAAAUGCGUAGAGAUCCACUGGAACGCCGAUGGUGAAGACGGUCAACUGGGCAUAUCCUGACACUGAGGCACGAAAGCGUGGGGAGCAAACAGGAUUAGAUACCCCAGUAGUC
This 440-nucleotide ribosomal RNA is filed under the name uncultured bacterium. RNAcentral's name for it is "bacterial SSU rRNA". It matches the Rfam family "Bacterial small subunit ribosomal RNA", at positions 338 to 795 of the family's 1533-position model. The record is from RNAcentral.